RNAcentral lists this ribosomal RNA (574 nucleotides) under uncultured bacterium. Its description in RNAcentral is "bacterial SSU rRNA". It matches the Rfam family "Bacterial small subunit ribosomal RNA", at positions 32 to 635 of the family's 1533-position model. The record is from RNAcentral.
AACGCUGGCGGCGCGCUUAACACAUGCAAGUCGAACGAGAAAGGGGAGCAAUCCCUGGAGUACAGUGGCGUACGGGUGAGUAACACGUGGGUAAUCUACCUCUUUGUGGGGGAUAUCUCUGGGAAACCGGAGUUAAUACCGCAUAAGCUCGAGAGAGGAAAGGGAGCAAUCCCGCUGAGAGAGGAGCCCGCGGCCGAUUAGCUAGUUGGUAGGGUAAUGGCCUACCAAGGCACAGAUCGGUAGCCGGCCUGAGAGGGCACACGGCCACACUGGCACUGAAACACGGGCCAGACUCCUACGGGAGGCAGCAGUGGGGAAUCUUGCACAAUGGGGGAAACCCUGAUGCAGCGACGCCGCGUGAGCGAUGAAGCCCUUCGGGGUGUAAAGCUCUUUCGACAGGAACGAUAAUGACGGUACCUGGAGAAGAAGCUGCGGCUAACUACGUGCCAGCAGCCGCGGUAAUACGUAGGCAGCAAGCGUUGUUCGGAGUUACUGGGCGUUAAGGGUGCGUAGGCGGUUUCGCAAGUUUGGUGUGAAAUCUCCCGGCUUAACUGGGAGGGUGCGCCGAAAACUG